UUUCAACUGACUCACUCUCUGUGUCUACUUGGGACGAAUCUACUCUUUUUCUUUUGGAAAGAACAUAUUCUUGGAGGGAGCAUUUUAGAGAAUCUGAUGUUCUUCAGUUUCACCACUACUGACUGUAUAAUUACAACUUACAAGGAAGAAUACCCUCUAGAUACUCCAGGACAAAAGUAGAAAAAAGAGUGAGAUGACAAAGGAUGAAAAACUACAUUAUGUCACAAUUCCUGAAAAAUGUCUUCUGGAGCAGCAAUCCUUCAGCAGCAGCUGGAGUAGGUGCCCUGCACAUCAGGCCCACUCCUCUCAGCACUGCCUUCCUGGGGGCUGCAGCCUCACACUGCCCUUUGGCCAGCCAUCAGCACUGCUGCUGCCAACAAUGACCCCAUUCUGUGUGACAGGAAGACCACUCAUACACCAAAAUGCCACAGGUUUCCCAAGACAUGGAGAUGUGCAGAGAGCAGAAGAAAAAUUGGUAUAUGGUGAAAAUGUGAACCUUCCAGUCAUACCUGCAUUUUGCGUGCACCCUCUGCUCCGUUCUCUGCAGUAAUUAAAAAUGUACUAAGUCCUUCAUCAAAAAGAAAAACAUCCCUUGCAAUUAGAAGCCUUAAAUGGACAGCAGGGAAGAUGUGUGGGAAAGAAAAGCACUUCCAGAAGAAAAGGCCACAACUUCCAUGAGUAAAACACAAAUAACCCUUAAACUUCAAAACAAGAGCAAGAAGAGCAAUGUUGAUACUCUUGAAGGUAUCAAGAAAGGAGUGGGUCUGGUUUUGGUAUCAGAAAAAGGCGAGGGAACUGUGAAAAACAACAGGAUGAGCACCCAAAAAAAUAGACAACGUGGAGAGGAGCAACACAAAAUAAACUCAAUUUGAGAGUUUUAAAACAGUUUUUCUCACAUUAAUGAAACCUAUUGUGUCCUGAUAGUUUAACA
Gallus gallus (chicken) is the source of this 931-nucleotide long non-coding RNA. NCBI's taxonomy places the organism in Eukaryota, Metazoa, Chordata, Aves, Galliformes, Phasianidae. The record is from Ensembl.